Molecule: ribosomal RNA, 660 nt
Filed under: uncultured bacterium
Lineage: Bacteria
Description: bacterial SSU rRNA
Rfam family: Bacterial small subunit ribosomal RNA
Source: RNAcentral
GUCGAACGAAGCAAUUUAGCGGAAGUUUUCGGAUGGAAGUUAAAUUGACUGCCUGUCGGACGGGUGAGUAACGCGUGGGUAACCUGCCUCACACUGGGGGACAACAGUUAGAAAUGACUGCUAAUACCGCAUAAGCGCACAGGAUCGCAUGGUCUGGUGUGGAAAACUCCGGUGGUGUAAGAUGGACCCGCGUUUGAUUAGCUAGUUGGUGGGGUAACGGCCUACCAAGGCGACGAUCAAUAGCCGACCUGAGAGGGUGACCGGCCACAUUGGGACUGAGACACGGCCCAAGCUCCUACGGGAGGCAGCAGUGGGGAAUAUUGCACAAUGGGGGAAACCCUGAUGCAGCGACGCCGCGUGAGUGAAGAAGUAUUUCGGUAUGUAAAGCUCUAUCAGCAGGGAAGAAAAUGACGGUACCUGACUAAGAAGCCCCGGCUAACUACGUGCCAGCAGCCGCGGUAAUACGUAGGGGGCAAGCGUUAUCCGGAUUUACUGGGUGUAAAGGGAGCGUAGACGGUAAAGCAAGUCUGAAGUGAAAGCCCGGGGCUCAACCCCGGGACUGCUUUGGAAACUGUUUAACUAGAGUGCUGGAGAGGUAAGCGGAAUUCCUAGUGUAGCGGUGAAAUGCGUAGAUAUUAGGAGGAACACCAGUGGCGAAGG